RNAcentral lists this ribosomal RNA (484 nucleotides) under uncultured bacterium. Its description in RNAcentral is "partial 16S ribosomal RNA". It matches the Rfam family "Bacterial small subunit ribosomal RNA", at positions 29 to 523 of the family's 1533-position model. The record is from RNAcentral.
AGUGAACGCUGGCGGCGUGCUUAACACAUGCAAGUCGAACGAGAACGGAUUAUAGCUUGCUAUAAUUGUCAGCUAAGUGGCGCACGGGUGAGUAAUGUAUAGGUAAUGUGCCUCUUACUAAGGGAUAACAAAUGGAAACGUUUGCUAAUACCUUAUACUCCUUAUUAACAGAAGUUAAUAAGGGAAAGAUUUAUUGGUAAGAGAUUAGCCUGUAUUGUAUCAGUUAGUUGGUGGGGUAAUGGCUUACCAAGACUAUGACACAUAACUGGUUUGAGAGGAUGAUCAGUCACACUGGAACUGAGACACGGUCCAGACUCCUACGGGAGGCAGCAGUGGGGAAUAUUGCACAAUGGACGAAAGUCUGAUACAGCAACGCCGCGUGGAGGAUGACACAUUUCGGUGCGUAAACUCCUUUUAUAUGAGAAGAUAAUGACGGUAUUAUAUGAAUAAGCACCGGCUAACUCCGUGCCAGCCGCCGCGGUAA